GUAGGUGGCAAGCGUUGUCCGGAAUUAUUGGGCGUAAAGCGCGCGCAGGUGGUUCUUUAAGUCUGAUGUGAAAGACCCCCGGGCUCAACCGGGGAGGGUCAUUGGAAACUGGGGAACUUGAGUGCAGGAGAGGAAAGUGGAAUUCCACGUGUAGCGGUGAAAUGCGUAGAUAUGUGGAGGAACACCAGUGGCGAAGGCGACUUUCUGGCCUGUAACUGACACUGAGGCGCGAAAGCGUGGGGAGCAAACAGGAUUAGAUACCCUGGUAGUCCACGCCGUAAACGAUGAGUGCUAAGUGUUGGGGGGUUUCCGCUCCUCAGUGCUGCAGCUAACGCAUUAAGCACUCCGCCUGGGGAGUACGGUCGCAAGACUG
This 373-nucleotide ribosomal RNA is filed under the name uncultured organism. Its description in RNAcentral is "partial 16S ribosomal RNA". It matches the Rfam family "Bacterial small subunit ribosomal RNA", at positions 527 to 896 of the family's 1533-position model. The record is from RNAcentral.